Molecule: ribosomal RNA, 490 nt
Filed under: uncultured bacterium
Lineage: Bacteria
Description: partial 16S ribosomal RNA
Rfam family: Bacterial small subunit ribosomal RNA
Source: RNAcentral
AUUGAACGCUGGCGGCAGGCCUAACACAUGCAAGUCGAACGGUAACAGGAAGCAGCUUGCUGCUUUGCUGACGAGUGGCGGACGGGUGAGUAAUGUCUGGGAAACUGCCUGAUGGAGGGGGAUAACUACUGGAAACGGUAGCUAAUACCGCAUAACGUCGCAAGACCAAAGAGGGGGACCUUAGGGCCUCUUGCCAUCGGAUGUGCCCAGAUGGGAUUAGCUAGUAGGUGGGGUAACGGCUCACCUAGGCGACGAUCCCUAGCUGGUCUGAGAGGAUGACCAGCCACACUGGAACUGAGACACGGUCCAGACUCCUACGGGAGGCAGCAGUGGGGAAUAUUGCGCAAUGGGCGCAAGCCUGAUGCAGCCAUGCCGCGUGUAUGAAGAAGGCCUUCGGGUUGUAAAGUACUUUCAGCGGGGAGGAAGGGAGUAAAGUUAAUACCUUUGCUCAUUGACGUUACCCGCAGAAGAAGCACCGGCUAACUCCGUG